This 677-nucleotide ribosomal RNA is filed under the name uncultured bacterium. RNAcentral describes it as "bacterial SSU rRNA". It matches the Rfam family "Bacterial small subunit ribosomal RNA", at positions 201 to 897 of the family's 1533-position model. The record is from RNAcentral.
GGAAAGAUUUAUUCGCCAUUGGAUGGGCCCGCGUAGGAUUAGCUAGUUGGUGGGGUAAUGGCCUACCAAGGCGACGACGGGUAGCCGACCUGAGAGGGUGACCGGCCACACUGGGACUGAGACACGGCCCAGACUCCUACGGGAGGCAGCAGUGGGGAAUAUUGCACAAUGGGCGAAAGCCUGAUGCAGCGACGCCGCGUGAGGGACGACGGCCUUCGGGUUGUAAACCUCUUUCAGCAGGGACGAAGCGCAAGUGACGGUACCUGCAGAAGAAGCACCGGCUAACUACGUGCCAGCAGCCGCGGUAAUACGUAGGGUGCAAGCGUUGUCCGGAAUUACUGGGCGUAAAGAGUUCGUAGGCGGUUUGUCACGUCGUUUGUGAAAACUCACAGCUCAACUGUGAGCCUGCAGGCGAUACGGGCAGACUUGAGUACUGCAGGGGAGACUGGAAUUCCUGGUGUAGCGGUGAAAUGCGCAGAUAUCAGAGGAACACCGGUGGCGAAAGCGGGUCUCUGGGCAGUAACUGACGCUGAGGACGAAAGCGUGGGUAGCGAACAGGAUUAGAUACCCUGGUAGUCCACGCCGUAAACGGUGGGCGCUAGGUGUGGGUUCCUUCCACGGAAUCCGUGCCGUAGCUAACGCAUUAGCGCCCGCCUGGGGAGUACGCCGCAGGCUAA